UACGGAGGGUGCGAGCGUUAAUCGGAAUUACUGGGCGUAAAGCGUAUGUAGGCGGUUUGAUCAGUCGGAUGUGAAAUCCCCGAGCUUAACUUGGGAAUGGCAUUCGAAACUAUCAAGCUAGAGUAGGCUAGAGGAAAGGGGAAUUCCGCGUGUAGCAGUGAAAUGCGUAGAUAUGCGGAGGAACACCAAUGGCGAAGGCACCUUUCUGGGGUCAUACUGACGCUGAGAUACGAAAGCGUGGGGAGCAAACAGG
This 253-nucleotide ribosomal RNA is filed under the name uncultured bacterium. RNAcentral's name for it is "partial 16S ribosomal RNA". It matches the Rfam family "Bacterial small subunit ribosomal RNA", at positions 524 to 776 of the family's 1533-position model. The record is from RNAcentral.